UUGACUGCGAGCGUGACGGCGCGAGCAGGUGCGAAAGCAGGUCAUAGUGAUCCGGUGGUUCUGAAUGGAAGGGCCAUCGCUCAACGGAUAAAAGGUACUCCGGGGAUAACAGGCUGAUACCGCCCAAGAGUUCAUAUCGACGGCGGUGUUUGGCACCUCGAUGUCGGCUCAUCACAUCCUGGGGCUGAAGUAGGUCCCAAGGGUAUGGCUGUUCGCCAUUUAAAGUGGUACGCGAGCUGGGUUUAGAACGUCGUGAGACAGUUCGGUCCCUAUCUGCCGUGGGCGCUGGAGAACUGAGGGGGGCUGCUCCUAGUACGAGAGGACCGGAGUGGACGCAUCACUGGUGUUCGGGUUGUCAUGCCAAUGGCACUGCCCGGUAGCUAAAUGCGGAAGAGAUAAGUGCUGAAAGCAUCUAAGCACGAAACUUGCCCCGA
Molecule: ribosomal RNA, 434 nt
Filed under: Salmonella enterica
Lineage: Bacteria; Pseudomonadati; Pseudomonadota; Gammaproteobacteria; Enterobacterales; Enterobacteriaceae
Also listed under: 4 other names
Description: partial 23S ribosomal RNA
Rfam family: Bacterial large subunit ribosomal RNA
Source: RNAcentral